UACGUAGGGUGCAAGCGUUAUCCGGAUUUACUGGGUGUAAAGGGCGAGUAGACGGCGAUGCAAGUCAGAUGUGAAAUGCUAGGGCUUAACCUUAGAACUGCAUCUGAAACUGUAUUGCUAGAGUGCAGGAGAGGUAAGCGGAAUUCCUAGUGUAGCGGUGAAAUGCGUAGAUAUUAGGAGGAACAUCAGUGGCGAAGGCGGCUUACUGGACUGUAACUGACGUUGAGGCGCGAAAGCGUGGGGAGCAAACAGG
Molecule: ribosomal RNA, 253 nt
Filed under: uncultured bacterium
Lineage: Bacteria
Description: partial 16S ribosomal RNA
Rfam family: Bacterial small subunit ribosomal RNA
Source: RNAcentral